CCUACGGGAGGCAGCAGUGAGGAAUAUUGGUCAAUGGGAGAGAUCCUGAACCAGCCAAGCCGCGUGAGGGAAGACGGCCCUAUGGGUUGUAAACCUCUUUUGUCGGAGAACAAAACCCGGGACGUGUCCCGGACUGCGUGUAUCCGAAGAAAAAGCAUCGGCUAAUUCCGUGCCCGCAGCCGCGGUAAUACGGAGGAUGCGAGCGUUAUCCGGAUUUAUUGGGUUUAAAGGGUGCGUAGGAGGUCCAUUAGGUCAGCGGUAAAAUUGCGGGGCCCAACCCCGUCGCGCGGUUGAAACUGGAAGAAUGGAGUGGGCGAGAGGUACGCGGAAUGCGCGGGGUAGCGGUGAAAUGCGUAGAUAUCGCGCAGAACACCGAUUGCGAAGGCAGCGUACCGGCGCCAGACUGACGCUGAGGCACGAAAGCGUGGGGAUCGAACAGGAUUAGAUACCCCAGUAGUC
Molecule: ribosomal RNA, 459 nt
Filed under: uncultured bacterium
Lineage: Bacteria
Description: partial 16S ribosomal RNA
Rfam family: Bacterial small subunit ribosomal RNA
Source: RNAcentral